UGACCUACGGGAGGCAGCAGUGGGGAAUAUUGGACAAUGGGGGCAACCCUGAUCCAGCCAUGCCGCGUGAGUGAUGAAGGCCCUAGGGUUGUAAAGCUCUUUUGUGCGGGAAGAUAAUGACGGUACCGCAAGAAUAAGCCCCGGCUAACUUCGUGCCAGCAGCCGCGGUAAUACGAAGGGGGCUAGCGUUGCUCGGAAUCACUGGGCGUAAAGGGUGCGUAGGCGGGUCUUUAAGUCAGGGGUGAAAUCCUGGAGCUCAACUCCAGAACUGCCUUUGAUACUGAAGAUCUUGAGUUCGGGAGAGGUGAGUGGAACUGCGAGUGUAGAGGUGAAAUUCGUAGAUAUUCGCAAGAACACCAGUGGCGAAGGCGGCUCACUGGCCCGAUACUGACGCUGAGGCACGAAAGCGUGGGGAGCAAACAGGAUUAGAUACCCCAGUAGUC
This 443-nucleotide ribosomal RNA is filed under the name uncultured Bradyrhizobium sp. Its description in RNAcentral is "bacterial SSU rRNA". It matches the Rfam family "Bacterial small subunit ribosomal RNA", at positions 333 to 795 of the family's 1533-position model. The record is from RNAcentral. Lineage: Bacteria; Pseudomonadati; Pseudomonadota; Alphaproteobacteria; Hyphomicrobiales; Nitrobacteraceae.